RNAcentral lists this ribosomal RNA (440 nucleotides) under uncultured bacterium. RNAcentral's name for it is "partial 16S ribosomal RNA". It matches the Rfam family "Bacterial small subunit ribosomal RNA", at positions 338 to 795 of the family's 1533-position model. The record is from RNAcentral.
CCUACGUGCGGCAGCAGUGGGGAAUAUUGCACAAUGGGGGAAACCCUGAUGCAGCGACGCCGCGUGAAGGAAGAAGUAUUUCGGUAUGUAAACUUCUAUCAGCAGGGAAGAAAAUGACGGUACCUGACUAAGAAGCCCCGGCUAACUACGUGCCAGCAGCCGCGGUAAUACGUAGGGGGCAAGCGUUAUCCGGAUUUACUGGGUGUAAAGGGAGCGUAGGCGGCGAUGCAAGUCAGAAGUGAAAGCCCGGGGCUCAACUCCGGGACUGCUUUUGAAACUGUAUGGCUAGAGUGCAGGAGAGGCAAGUGGAAUUCCUAGUGUAGCGGUGAAAUGCGUAGAUAUUAGGAGGAACACCAGUGGCGAAGGCGGCUUGCUGGACUGUAAAUGACGCUGAGGCUCGAAAGCGUGGGGAGCGAACAGGAUUAGAUACCCUUGUAGUC